GAUGAACGCUGGCGGCGUGCCUAAUACAUGCAAGUCGAGCGAACGGACGAGAAGCUUGCUUCUCUGAUGUUAGCGGCGGACGGGUGAGUAACACGUGGAUAACCUACCUAUAAGACUGGGAUAACUUCGGGAAACCGGAGCUAAUACCGGAUAAUAUUUUGAACCGCAUGGUUCAAAAGUGAAAGACGGUCUUGCUGUCACUUAUAGAUGGAUCCGCGCUGCAUUAGCUAGUUGGUAAGGUAACGGCUUACCAAGGCAACGAUGCAUAGCCGACGUGAGGGGGGGAUGGCCCACCGAGAAGGUGAGCCGCGGCCCAGGCCCCGAGGGGAGGCACAGGUGGGGAAGCUACGCAAAAGGGGGAAAGCCUGCAGGAUGAACGCCAGGGUGAUGAAGAAAGGCUGCGGGCGGGAAAACUUUUUUUUGGGGGAAAAACAUUUUUGUAAGUAACGGAGCGCAUGUGACGGUAACCGAAAAAGAAACCCCGGCUAACCACGGG
Molecule: ribosomal RNA, 496 nt
Filed under: uncultured bacterium
Lineage: Bacteria
Description: partial 16S ribosomal RNA
Rfam family: Bacterial small subunit ribosomal RNA
Source: RNAcentral